UACGUAGGUGGCGAGCGUUAUCCGGAAUGAUUGGGCGUAAAGGGUGCGUAGGCGGCCUGCUAAGUCUGGAGUGAAAGGUACCGGCUCAACCGGUACAGGCUCUGGAAACUGGCGGGCUAGAGAGCAGGAAAGGGCGGUGGAACUCCAUGUGUAGCGGUAAAAUGCGUAGAUAUAUGGAGGAACACCGGUGGCGAAAGCGGCUCUCUGGCCUGUAACUGACACUGAGGCUCGAAAGCGUGGGGAGCAAACAGG
RNAcentral lists this ribosomal RNA (252 nucleotides) under uncultured bacterium. Its description in RNAcentral is "partial 16S ribosomal RNA". It matches the Rfam family "Bacterial small subunit ribosomal RNA", at positions 524 to 776 of the family's 1533-position model. The record is from RNAcentral.